RNAcentral lists this ribosomal RNA (119 nucleotides) under Petromyzon marinus (sea lamprey). Lineage: Eukaryota; Metazoa; Chordata; Hyperoartia; Petromyzontiformes; Petromyzontidae. The record is from RNAcentral.
CAUACAUAUCAAAUCGCCCUGAAUGUACCCAAUGUCAUCUGAUUUUGGAAGCUAAGAAUUGAGCAUGGAUACUACUCAUAUGUGAGACUACCUGGGAAUAUAAGGUGUUAUAGGCAUGG